AUGCUCACUUCAACAGCACAUAUGCUAAAAUUGGAAUGAUACAGAGAAGAUUAGCAUGGCCCCUGCUUAAGGAUGACAUGCAAAUUGGUGACGUAUUCCAUACGUUA
Small nuclear RNA from Ailuropoda melanoleuca (giant panda), 107 nucleotides. The record is from Ensembl. Lineage: Eukaryota; Metazoa; Chordata; Mammalia; Carnivora; Ursidae.